RNAcentral lists this ribosomal RNA (253 nucleotides) under uncultured bacterium. Its description in RNAcentral is "partial 16S ribosomal RNA". It matches the Rfam family "Bacterial small subunit ribosomal RNA", at positions 524 to 776 of the family's 1533-position model. The record is from RNAcentral.
UACAGAGGGUGCAAGCGUUGUUCGGAAUUAUUGGGCGUAAAGAGCUCGUAGGCGGUUUGUCGCGUCUGCUGUGAAAACGCGAGGCUCAACCUCGCGCCUGCAGUGGGUACGGGCAGACUAGAGUGCGGUAGGGGAGAUUGGAAUUCCUGGUGUAGCGGUGGAAUGCGCAGAUAUCAGGAGGAACACCGAUGGCGAAGGCAGAUCUCUGGGCCGUUACUGACGCUGAGGAGCGAAAGCGUGGGGAGCGAACAGG